RNAcentral lists this ribosomal RNA (468 nucleotides) under uncultured bacterium. RNAcentral describes it as "partial 16S ribosomal RNA". It matches the Rfam family "Bacterial small subunit ribosomal RNA", at positions 28 to 507 of the family's 1533-position model. The record is from RNAcentral.
GACGAACGCUGGCGGCGUGCUUAACACAUGCAAGUCGAACGGAAAGGCCCUGCUUUUGUGGGGUGCUCGAGUGGCGAACGGGUGAGUAACACGUGAGUAACCUGCCCUUGACUUUGGGAUAACUUCAGGAAACUGCGGCUAAUACCGGAUAGGAGCUCCUGCUGCAUGUUGGGGGUUGGAAAGUUUCGGCGGUUGGGGAUGGACUCGCGGCUUAUCAGCUUGUUGGUGGGGUAGGGGCUGACCAAGGCUUUGACGGGUAGCCGGCCUGAGAGGGUGACCGGCCAUAUUGGGACUGAGGUACGGCGCAGACUCCUACGGGAGGCAGCAGUGGGGAAUAUUGCACAAUAGGCGGAAGCCUGAUGCAGCAGCGCCGCGUGCGGGAUGCCGGCCUUCGGGUUGUGAACCGCUUUCGCCUGUGACAAAGCGUGAGUGACGGUAAUGGGUAAAGAAGCACCGGCUAACUACGUG